GAAACGAGAAUAAAACGUGAAGGAUAACGUUGCGUCAGCAACGGCCCGUAGGGCGAGGCGAAGCCGAGUCAUCCUGCACGACCCACCA
This 88-nucleotide small RNA is filed under the name Salmonella enterica subsp. enterica serovar Newport. RNAcentral's name for it is "partial RtT sRNA". It matches the Rfam family "RtT RNA", at positions 45 to 130 of the family's 130-position model. From Rfam's summary of the family: This family represents a bacterial cis-regulatory element known as RtT RNA. The exact function of RtT is unknown although it is thought that it may be involved in changing the cellular response in relation to amino acid starvation. Lineage: Bacteria; Pseudomonadati; Pseudomonadota; Gammaproteobacteria; Enterobacterales; Enterobacteriaceae. RNAcentral also lists the same sequence under 2 other names. The record is from RNAcentral.